GUCCUUGCCGUAAACGAUGUAUACUUGAUGUAGUUAGGCUCAACCCUGACUGUGUCGAAGCUAACGCGAUAAGUAUACCGCCUGGGGAGUACGCUCGCAAGGGUGAAACUCAAAAGAAUUGACGGGGGCCCGCACAAGCAGUGGAGCAUGUGGUUUAAUUCGAUGCAACGCGAAGAACCUUACCCAGGCUCGAAAUGUAGAGGACGGUUACAGAAAUGUAACUUCCCGCAAGGGCCGCUAUAUAGGUGCUGCAUGGCUGUCGU
This 263-nucleotide ribosomal RNA is filed under the name uncultured bacterium. Its description in RNAcentral is "partial 16S ribosomal RNA". It matches the Rfam family "Bacterial small subunit ribosomal RNA", at positions 793 to 1055 of the family's 1533-position model. The record is from RNAcentral.